This 496-nucleotide ribosomal RNA is filed under the name uncultured bacterium. RNAcentral's name for it is "partial 16S ribosomal RNA". It matches the Rfam family "Bacterial small subunit ribosomal RNA", at positions 28 to 506 of the family's 1533-position model. The record is from RNAcentral.
GAUGAACGCUGGCGGCGUGCCUAAUACAUGCAAGUCGAGCGAACAGACGAGGAGCUUGCUCCUCUGACGUUAGCGGCGGACGGGUGAGUAACACGUGGAUAACCUACCUAUAAGACUGGGAUAACUUCGGGAAACCGGAGCUAAUACCGGAUAAUAUAUUGAACCGCAUGGUUCAAUAGUGAAAGACGGUUUUGCUGUCACUUAUAGAUGGAUCCGCGCCGCAUUAGCUAGUUGGUAAGGGAACGGCUUACCAAGGCAACGAUGCGUAGCCGACCUGAGAGGAUGAUCGGCCACACUGGAACUGAGACACGGCCCAGACUCCUACGGGAGGCAGCAGUAGGGAAUCUUCCGCAAUGGGCGAAAGCCUGACGGAGCAACGCCGCGUGAGUGAUGAAGGUCUUCGGAUCGUAAAACUCUGUUAUUAGGGAAGAACAAAUGUGUAAGUAACUAUGCACGUCUUGACGGUACCUAAUCAGAAAGCCACGGCUAACUACGU